CAUCGGUUGAUUUAUAUGUGCUAUCUUAUUAGUUAUGGCAAGUUGAGUUUCUGUAUGCCAUCAUGUGAAGGGGACAUAACAUCUCAGUCAUCCAUACAAGCUAACUAGAUGUCGGUCAGCCCUUCUACGUCAUAUGAUGUGUGCAAGAUUGGAUGCCAUAACAGGCCAGCCAUCCAAACAACUAUGCAAACUCGUACCUAUUUUCAGUAGUAAGGAUUGCAAGAAACAUGAACAAUAAAAAAUCAUGAUAGCACCCGCACCAUCAUGAACUUUAUACCACGUGGGUUACUCAAAACUCCUAGUAAAGUAAGAUAAGAUAAGCAAGAGCAAAAACAUUAUUUGUCAAAAUAUGAAGAAAAAGAAGUGACUCUAUUUAGAGAUUUAUCUACUUAGAUGGAAAAAUCAUACUCUAUCUAUAUUAUUAAUGAUUAUGUAUCCCAACCCAUCUCGAGGUAUUUGUAUCAAUACAUAUUCGGUGGAAGCCAUUUUUUCUGUCCCAGGAACCAGAUCAUGAACAGCACAAGGAGGAACGGUGUCAUUCCAUAUAGUCGGAAGCAAUAUUCAGGCAGAAGGUGUGAUAGCAGC
RNAcentral lists this long non-coding RNA (585 nucleotides) under Oryza brachyantha (malo sina). RNAcentral describes it as "long non-coding RNA (OBRA_LNC001833)". The record is from RNAcentral. Lineage: Eukaryota; Viridiplantae; Streptophyta; Magnoliopsida; Poales; Poaceae.